GGAGAGGUGCCGGAGCUGGCUUAACGGGGCGGUCUCGAAAACCGUUGUUCGCUCACGCGGACCGGGGGUUCGAAUCCCCCCCUCUCCG
Molecule: transfer RNA, 88 nt
Filed under: Candidatus Zhuqueibacterota bacterium
Lineage: Bacteria; Pseudomonadati
Description: candidate division KSB1 bacterium (freshwater sediment metagenome) tRNA-Ser
Rfam family: tRNA
About the family: Transfer RNA (tRNA) molecules are approximately 80 nucleotides in length. Their secondary structure includes four short double-helical elements and three loops (D, anti-codon, and T loops).
Source: RNAcentral